UACGUAGGGUGCGAGCGUUAAUCGGAAUUACUGGGCGUAAAGCGUGCGCAGGCGGUUUGCUAAGUCCGCUGUGAAAUCCCCGGGCUCAACCUGGGAAUGGCGGUGGAAACUGGCGAGCUAGAGUGUGGCAGAGGGGGGUGGAAUUCCACGUGUAGCAGUGAAAUGCGUAGAGAUGUGGAGGAACACCAAUGGCGAAGGCAGCCCCCUGGGUUGACACUGACGCUCAGGCACGAAAGCGUGGGGAGCAAACAGG
Molecule: ribosomal RNA, 253 nt
Filed under: uncultured bacterium
Lineage: Bacteria
Description: partial 16S ribosomal RNA
Rfam family: Bacterial small subunit ribosomal RNA
Source: RNAcentral